AAUUUUAUCGUACGAAGAGGUUUUACUUAAUUGUAGAUUAAUAGGGAAUCUGGUGUAAAUCCAGAGCUGUCGCGCAACUGUAAGUAACAUUCAAAAGAUUUUUAUCCUAGUGUUCCACUGUUUUUAAUGAAAAUGGGAAGGACGAUAAAAACUGUUAUAAGUCAGGAGACCUGCCCUUUUCGAUAUGACUUU
RNAcentral lists this non-coding RNA (192 nucleotides) under Lutibacter profundi. The record is from RNAcentral. Lineage: Bacteria; Pseudomonadati; Bacteroidota; Flavobacteriia; Flavobacteriales; Flavobacteriaceae.